Molecule: transfer RNA, 71 nt
Filed under: Caudoviricetes sp.
Lineage: Duplodnaviria; Heunggongvirae; Uroviricota; Caudoviricetes
Description: tRNA-Gln
Rfam family: tRNA
About the family: Transfer RNA (tRNA) molecules are approximately 80 nucleotides in length. Their secondary structure includes four short double-helical elements and three loops (D, anti-codon, and T loops). Further hydrogen bonds mediate the characteristic L-shaped molecular structure. tRNAs have two regions of fundamental functional importance: the anti-codon, which is responsible for specific mRNA codon recognition, and the 3' end, to which the tRNAs corresponding amino acid is attached (by aminoacyl-tRNA synthetases). tRNAs cope with the degeneracy of the genetic code in two manners: having more than one tRNA (with a specific anti-codon) for a particular amino acid; and 'wobble' base-pairing, i.e. permitting non-standard base-pairing at the 3rd anti-codon position.
Source: RNAcentral
UGGGUGUUCGUUCAAAGGUAGGACACAGGAUUUUGAUUCCUGGAAUAAUAGUUCGAAUCUAUUACGCCCAG